Molecule: ribosomal RNA, 254 nt
Filed under: uncultured bacterium
Lineage: Bacteria
Description: partial 16S ribosomal RNA
Rfam family: Bacterial small subunit ribosomal RNA
Source: RNAcentral
UACGAAGGGGGCUAGCGUUGCUCGGAAUUACUGGGCGUAAAGGGCGCGUAGGCGGCGCUGCAAGUCAGGCGUGAAAUUCCUGGGCUUAACCUGGGGGCUGCGCUUGAGACUGUGGUGCUAGAGGAUGGAAGAGGCUCGUGGAAUUCCCAGUGUAGAGGUGAAAUUCGUAGAUAUUGGGAAGAACACCGGUGGCGAAGGCGGCGAGCUGGUCCAUUACUGACGCUGAGGCGCGACAGCGUGGGGGAGCAAACAGG